GCCUGCUAAUUAUCUAUAGGCUAUGUUUCAACUUGUCAAAUGUAAAUUAUUUUCUAACAACAGUUUGAAUUGAGGUGUGUUCUGCCUCCUCAUUAAUUCACAUUCAGCGUUGCAGACAUCACUACACUCAUGUUUGAUCAAGUAUGCAUAUAUUUGCGCAGUCUUGCAAGAAUUUGAACAUUUUCUUGCUGGCGCUCGAUUUGCCUUCCUUGUUGUUUUCCUUACAAAUAACUUUGGACAUGUGUGCGUUCCUAUCAAAAUUUGAGUCAUAUAUACACAUAAGCAGCACUGCCCAUCCCCCAGAGAAAUGCUUGAACCUCAACAUGGCUACAAGUUGCUGUUCAGGGCAUGGACUUGUUUUGGUAGAAGACGCAUUUGAGCAAGCAAGGGAUGGCCUUAUUGCUUCUGGACAUUACUUGUAAAUCGUGCACGAGGGAUCCCUCAAACUUGGGAUCUCAGGGAAACCACACUUCGGGAACGAAGCAGAUGGACCCACCUUUGAUCUGAGAGGCAGCGAGCCGAGUGGAUACCACAUUUCGAACUUAGUUUUUUUUAAAGAUAGAGUUUGACACUUUUGUAACCUCUCUGUCACUGCUCAUGACUCACCUGAUGAAUAAAUAAUGUGUGAAAAAGCAUUGCUCUCUGUUCCCCUCCUCCUAAAACACACACAUACACACACACACACACUCAAACACACUCGUGUGGGUAGGGGGAUGUGGGGGGUGUUUGAAGCCUAAACAUCAGUGACUAAUUGGAACAUAAAACGGUGGUGUGAGAAAGCGGAGGAGGGAGAGAAAGACGAGGCGGGCGUCCUCUCUCCUCCUUUCAUCCCUCCCCCCUCCCCAUCUGUCUCUCUCUGUAUGAAGGUGACCUUGUUGUCUCUGCUCGUCCAUCGAUUUCUGCACUCCGAGGACCCGGGGACUCCCUCCCACUCAUUUCCGGAAGAGAGAUGGAGGGAUGGAGGGAAGAAAGGGUGGAUAUGCAAGGGAGCAUACGGCAGUGCAUAGGUGCACAAGGAUGCCGGUGGGCGGAGUUGGAAGGGUCGUCAGCUAAAUGGGAAACACCUGGGCCCAGCUGUGUCCCAGGAUAAAGAGACCUCUUCCACAGUUAUUGAGAGGACUCUCUCCAUGCAGACACUUUGUUGAUUUUGGUUGUGUAGUUUUGUGGCUUUUUGGUUAUUUCCUUUGGCACCUUUCAACACCCUGCAUUAUUACAUUCAGGUAUGCAAAACACUCACUUACACUACUGAUUACUGAUUACACACACGCC
This 1269-nucleotide long non-coding RNA is filed under the name Salmo salar (Atlantic salmon). Its description in RNAcentral is "lncRNA (ENSSSAG00000100956.1)". The record is from RNAcentral. Lineage: Eukaryota; Metazoa; Chordata; Actinopteri; Salmoniformes; Salmonidae.